AGCGGCCAUACCAUGCUGAAUAUACCGGUUCUCGUUAGAUCACCGAAGUCAAGCAUCAUUGGGCGCGGUCAGUACUUGGGUGGGUGACCACCUGGGAACACC
This 102-nucleotide ribosomal RNA is filed under the name Caerostris darwini. The record is from RNAcentral. Lineage: Eukaryota; Metazoa; Arthropoda; Arachnida; Araneae; Araneidae.